This 1226-nucleotide long non-coding RNA is filed under the name Equus caballus (horse). Its description in RNAcentral is "lncRNA (ENSECAG00000041346.2)". The record is from RNAcentral. Lineage: Eukaryota; Metazoa; Chordata; Mammalia; Perissodactyla; Equidae.
AGGAAGUCAUGUUGGGAUGUCACCGUCUCACCUGUUGUCGUUGAUAAGCACUCAGUCGCCCAGCUGCUGAGGGGCCCCACUGGGGGCUUAUUGAUAAGAACGUGUGGAGAAGCAAUGAUGACAAGGGGACAUUUAGACUAUAAAUACCAGGAGUUCGGGAGGAAUAUCCGAGGGUGUUCAGAUUGGGCAAGGCGACCCUUUGCUGAUCUAGAUAGUUCCCGAGGACCUUUGGGGCAUCAGCUCCAGGCGUGGUAAAGGCGACUCUGAAGGGCAGUGGUGGAAGCCUUGCAGCAGCCUCAGGAGAUCAUCUUGUCCGUCAACACCGUCGCCAUGGUCGCUCCCUAGCAACGUGCUCUAGCAACGGGACUUUUACUUCUGCGCUGGCAGCUGGACAGCAGCUUGCGGUUGGCCAGGCCCUCUCUCUCGACACCAACUCAUAUAAAGCCAUGGCUACUCCUCCGACAGCGCCAAUAGCAGUUGUGCCACCAUUUCAAAAUGGAACACCACCUUCUGGUCCAGAUACAACGCCCCUGUCUGUGACAUCCUCUAUUUCCUGCACGGAUCACAAUCCUGGGCACUUUGUUGCAACUGAGGGCUCACCAGCAUCACCAAGCCCAAUCUUUUCACCCUACCCCUCGCCAUCAGCACCACCUCCUCACUGGGAAACCUUUGAUCAAUGGGGAAACCAAGUCCUGAGGGAAGCUGACAAAGCAGUGGAAACCUCUACUUCAAUCCCCACAAGAAUCAACGAGGAUCCUGACCAAUACCUUCCGUUAGACCCUGACUCAAAGGAUGAAGAUUGGCCUGAAUUGCUAACUGACUCUUGGUGUUAUAACCCAGCAUAUAUACCAAGACAAGCAGGUCCCUCUGGUUGUGGUAUGUGGGAUGCCGCCUCAACAUGGCCUGAUGAGCAGUGCCACGUCUGCGUGCCCAGGAUCCGAACCUGCGAAACCCUCGGAUGCUGAAGUGGAGCGCGUGAACUUAACCACUCAGCCACGGGGCUGGCUCCUAGCUAAAGCAAAGUAUGAGUCCACCUGAGUGGCGCUCAAGGUCCCAGGGAUUCUGCCCUUCUCCAGGCAGCACACAGGAGGGCAGCCUGCAGCAUCAAAGGGCACGAGCUUGGCUCAGAUCCAUGAUUUCAGUUUGGGGCAUAAAUAGGACAUUUAAUGGGAAAAAAACCCCAGACAUCUGAGAGCUUGCAUAGAGGCAUUCUAGCAAACAAGAAA